GUCCUUUUGAUAAUAAUUUAAGGUCUAACCUGCCCACUGAUUUAUUGAAUGGCCGCGGUAUUUUGACCGUGCAAAGGUAGCAUAAUCAUUAGUUUUUUAAUUGAAAACUGGAAUGAAUGGUUGAAUAAAAAAAAAGCUGUCUCAAUUUAAUUUUAUUAGAAUUUUAUUUUUAAGUUAAAAAGCUUAAAUUUAAUUUAAAGACGAGAAGACCCUAUAGAGUUUUAUAUUUAAAUUUUAUAAAAAUUUAAGAUUUUAAUUUUUUAUAAUAAUUUAAUUAUUUAGUUGGGGUGACUUAAAAAUUUAAAUAACUUUUUAAUUUUAAAACAUUGAUUUAUGAAUAGUUGAUCCAUUUUUAAUGAUUAAAAGAAAAAAUUACCUUAGGGAUAACAGCGUAAUUUUUUUUGAGAGUUCUUAUCGAAAAAAGAGAUUGCGACCUCGAUGUUGGAUUAAAAUAAAUAUUUGGUGUAGAAGCUAAAUUAUUAAGUCUGUUCGACUUUUAAAAUUUUACA
This 509-nucleotide ribosomal RNA is filed under the name Enicmus aterrimus. RNAcentral describes it as "partial 16S ribosomal RNA". It matches the Rfam family "Bacterial large subunit ribosomal RNA", at positions 1819 to 2600 of the family's 2925-position model. Lineage: Eukaryota; Metazoa; Arthropoda; Insecta; Coleoptera; Latridiidae. The record is from RNAcentral.